RNAcentral lists this ribosomal RNA (258 nucleotides) under uncultured bacterium. Its description in RNAcentral is "partial 16S ribosomal RNA". It matches the Rfam family "Bacterial small subunit ribosomal RNA", at positions 32 to 280 of the family's 1533-position model. The record is from RNAcentral.
AAUCAACGCUGGCGGCGUGCCUCAGACAUGCAAGUCGAACGAUUAAAGCUCUCUUCGGAGAGUGCAUAAAGUGGCGCACGGGUGAGUAACACGUAAGUAAUCUACCUUUGAGUGGGGAAUAACAGUCGGAAACGGCUGCUAAUACCGCAUAAUGCAGCGGCACCGCAAGGUGACAGUUGUUAAAGGAGCAAUCCGCUUAAAGAGGAGCUUGCGGCAGAUUAGCUAGUUGGUAAGGUAAUGGCUUACCAAGGCUAAGAC